UCUUAGACAAUGGGCGCAAGCCUGAUCUAGCCAUGCCGCGUGAGCGAUGAAGGCCUUAGGCUUGUAAAGCUCUUUCAGGGGGGAAGAUAAUGACUGUACCCCCAGAAGAAGCCCCGGCUAACUCCGUGCCAGCAGCCGCGGUAAUACGGAGGGGGCUAGCGUUGUUCGGAAUUACUGGGCGUAAAGCGCACGUAGGCGGACGGAGGAGUCAGAGGUGAAAUCCCGGGGCUCAACCUUGGAACUGCCUUUGAAACUUUCUGUCUUGAGAUCGAGAGAGGUGAGUGGAAUUCCGAGUGUAGAGGUGAAAUUCGUAGAUAUUCGGAGGAACACCAGUGGCGAAGGCGGCUCACCGGGUCGAAAGCUGACGCUGAGGUGCGAG
This 379-nucleotide ribosomal RNA is filed under the name uncultured bacterium. RNAcentral describes it as "bacterial SSU rRNA". It matches the Rfam family "Bacterial small subunit ribosomal RNA", at positions 362 to 757 of the family's 1533-position model. The record is from RNAcentral.